UAGGGAAUAUUGGACAAUGGGCGAAAGCCUGACCCAGCGACGUCGCGUGGAGGAAGAAGGCUUUUGGGCUGUAAACUCCUUUUCCAAGGGAAGAGAAAGGACGGUACCUUGGGAAUAAGCUCCGGCUAACUACGUGCCAGCAGCCGCGGUAAUACGUAGGGAGCGAGCGUUACCCGGAAUUACUGGGCGUAAAGUGCGCGUAGGCGGCUUGGUAAGUCUUUUGUGAAAGCUCCCGGCUUAACUGGGAGAGUGCAGAGGAAACUAUCUGGCUAGAGGGCAGCAGAGGAAAGCGGAAUUCUCGGUGUAGCGGUGAAAUGCGUAGAUAUCGAGAGGAACACCAGUGGCGAAGGCGGCUUUCUGGGCUGUACCUGACGCUGAGGCGCGAGAGCGUGGGGAGCAAACAGG
This 405-nucleotide ribosomal RNA is filed under the name uncultured bacterium. RNAcentral's name for it is "bacterial SSU rRNA". It matches the Rfam family "Bacterial small subunit ribosomal RNA", at positions 355 to 776 of the family's 1533-position model. The record is from RNAcentral.